This 495-nucleotide ribosomal RNA is filed under the name uncultured bacterium. RNAcentral describes it as "partial 16S ribosomal RNA". It matches the Rfam family "Bacterial small subunit ribosomal RNA", at positions 28 to 507 of the family's 1533-position model. The record is from RNAcentral.
GACGAACGCUGGCGGCGUGCCUAAUACAUGCAAGUAGAACGCUGAAGGAGGAGCUUGCUUCUCUGGAUGAGUUGCGAACGGGUGAGUAACGCGUAGGUAACCUGCCUGGUAGUGGGGGAUAACUAUUGGAAACGAUAGCUAAUACCGCAUAAUAGCAGUUGUUGCAUGAUAACUGUUUGAAAGGUGCAAUUGCACCGCUACCAGAUGGACCUGCGUUGUAUUAGCUAGUUGGUGGGGUAACGGCUCACCAAGGCGACGAUACAUAGCCGACCUGAGAGGGGGGUCGGCCACACUGGGACUGGGACAAGGCCCAGACUCCUACGGGAGGCAGCAGUAGGGAAUCUUCGGCAAUGGACGGAAGUCUGACCGAGCAACGCCGCGUGAGGGAAGAAGGUUUUCGGAUCGUAAAGCUCUGUUGUAAGAGAAGAACGAGUGUGAGAGUGGAAAGUUCACACUGUGACGGUAUCUUACCAGAAAGGGACGGCUAACUACGUG